CGAAAGUCUGACGGAGCGACGCUGCGUGAAGGAUGAAGGCCCGUGGGUUGUAAACUUCUUUUCUCGAAGAAGAAAAAAAUGACGGUAUUCGAGGAAUAAGCAUCGGCUAACUCUGUGCCAGCAGCCGCGGUAAGACAGAGGAUGCAAGUGUUAUUCGGAAUGAUUGGGCGUAAAGAGUCUGUAGGCGGUUUAGAAAGUCUUUUGUGAAAUACUUCAGCUCAACUGAGGCUCCGCAAAAGAAACUUCUAGACUUGAGGAAAGUAGAGGUACAGGGAAUUUCCGGUGGAGCGGUGAAAUGCGUAGAUAUCGGAAGGAACACCAAUAUGGCGAAGGCACUGUACUGGGCUUUUCCUGACGCUCAGAGACGAAAGCUGAAGGAGUGAUUAGGAUUAGAUACCCUAGUAAUUUCAGCCGUAAACGAUGAAAACUCACUGUCGAGCCAAUAUAUGGAGCGGUGGUCAAGCUAACGCGUGAAGUUUUCCGCCUGGGGAUUACGCUUGCAAAAGUGAAACUCAAAGGAAUUGACGGGGACCCGCACAAGCGGUGGAGUAUGUGGUUUAAUUCGAUGCAACGCGAAAAACCUUACCAGGGUUUGAAAUAAUUUCAAAACUUCUUGAAAGAGAAGCCUCCUUCGGGAUGGAAUUACAGGUGGUGCAUGGCUGUCGUCAGCUCGUGUUGUGAAAUGUCAAGUUAAGUCUUGUAACGAGCGCAACCCAUGUCUCUUGUUGCUGUUUACAGUGCUUAAGAGAAACUGCCGAUCAACAUCGGAGGAAGGUGUGGAUGAUGUCAAGUCAGCAUGCCCCUUACAUCCUGGGCUACACACGUACUACAAUGGUCGAGACAAAGGGUCGCUAACCUGCGAAGGUAUGCCAAUCUCAUAAACUCGAUCUCAGUUCGGAUUGUAC
This 905-nucleotide ribosomal RNA is filed under the name Bathycoccus prasinos. RNAcentral's name for it is "bacterial SSU rRNA". It matches the Rfam family "Bacterial small subunit ribosomal RNA", at positions 376 to 1303 of the family's 1533-position model. The record is from RNAcentral. Lineage: Eukaryota; Viridiplantae; Chlorophyta; Mamiellophyceae; Mamiellales; Bathycoccaceae.